Molecule: non-coding RNA, 1477 nt
Organism: Microcebus murinus (gray mouse lemur)
Lineage: Eukaryota; Metazoa; Chordata; Mammalia; Primates; Cheirogaleidae
Source: RefSeq, a predicted model, not a curated record
UAUCAUGAAUUCCUCAUCACAAUACUCUGAGAAGGUACUACUAUUAUCCCCACUUCAGAGUUGAGGCAACUGAGGCACAGAGAUGUUCAAUGGGGCCCAACAUCCCAAAGCAAGUAGGAGAACAACCUAGAUUUGAACCCUGUGCUUGUUAGUUUUUUGGUUCAGAGCCUGCCCAGUCAAACACUACCAUAAAAGUAAUUAUGACUUAGGUUUUGAGUCAAGGAAUCAAAAGAUCCAGGUGGAAGUCCUGCCUCUGCCCCAGGCUCUUCAGAGCUGUCUGCUUUCUCAGACUCAGUUUCCCUAUGUGGAACUGGACUUGAAUAUCCUCACCAUUCCUUACUGUCUCUCAGCACAGUUGGCCAGGUUUCUCUUUCCUGACUCAGUAAUAGCACAAACUGGGAAUGAGAAGGAGUAGAUGCCCACCAAGACUCCUGAACUAACUGGGAGCUCAGGGACUCAGGACGGGGUGAGACCUAGUGGGUAGAGUCAGGGGACCACAGUGGGUGGUCCCCUCCUUACCCAAAAAAACCCUUGCUCAGUUUUUGGGCAGAUGCCAGACUUUUAUUCUGAAGCCGAGGCCACAACCUAUGAGGUAAUCUUUGGAGCUUCGUUCAGAGGAGGAAUCCCAUUGGCCAGGUAGUGAAGCCCCUCCCAGGGUUCCCGGUGCCCCGCCUUCCCAGAAGCCCAUAAAAGCGCACGUACCCCGCCUGGGCAGCCACCGGACACCUGCAUCUGCCAACAGGACUGAGAGCAGAAAAGGACCCAAACGGCGAAGUUUGAUCAUCUGCAAAGCAGGUAUCAACCAGCGUGGCUGCCUGGGGUGAUAAGCAGGUGAGAUACAAGCACACACAGAAGUCUGCCACUGGCAACAGGGUGAAGCUGUAAGUCGACCCCGCAGCAGUCCAGCUCCAAAUCCCACGUCCCCGGCGUGCCCGGGUGGGAGUCGGGCCCUUGGAGAUGGGACCCUGCCUCUCUCCAGGAGAACCAGGCGCUUGGCUCAGUUCCAUGGAUUGAUCGCAGGACAAGUGUGAACUUGUGUCAUCAGCGAAACUCACCCCCAAUUCUCUGCAGCACCCUAAUCGAGCCACAGACUCCACGUGGAACUCAUUCCAGCCCCAGGACCUUGGCUUCUGCUUCAGCUUGGAAUACACUCCCCCACCCCCACCCACAGCUCCCCGGGCUGACCCUGAUGUCUUAUCCAAGUGUCGUUUCAUCCAGGGGAACAUUCCUUGUUGCUCCAUCACUCCCCUGAGAAGUCUACACUCACAUUCUCACAGACCUGGCAUUCUGUGUCUGCUGCAUAUAGUCUAUUCAUUCUCACGUGAUCGGUUUCCAUGUCUGUCUCCCUGUCACGCCGUGAGCUCUGCAAGCACAGUUUGUAUUUUCACGGUUGUGUCCCCAGCACCCAGUCCAGGGCCUGGUAUGCAGUAUGCAUUCAAUAAACAUGGGGCUGGAUCAAUAAAUACCUCCAAGAAUA